Long non-coding RNA from Gavialis gangeticus (Gharial), 1731 nucleotides. RefSeq lists it as uncharacterized. The transcript is spliced from 2 exons. Lineage: Eukaryota; Metazoa; Chordata; Crocodylia; Gavialidae. The record is from RefSeq and is a predicted model, not a curated record.
CCUCUUCAGCUCAUGGCCAGCAGCUACCAGAACUGACCCCAAAGGUGGCUGCAUGGCAGCAGCAGUCAGUAUGAUCAUUAAAGCACUGUGGGAUGUGAGGCAUAUGCCAAAGCACAUGGCCUGAGUUCUGCGUUUCCACUGUUGGCAGCAAGAUCAGAGAAGACACAGAUGAAACACCACGCAGCAAAGACCGGAGCCACAGUGAUGGGAAGCAGCAUGCAGCAGAUAUGCCAACCCCCUCUGCACGGGCUCUCCUCUUGUCUCCCUGCCACUUCCUGCGAGAUUAAUGCCGGGAGUGCACAGCAAAUGCCCCAGCAGAAAUAAACACUUCCCCCUGCAGCUGGGAUUUCCAACAAGCUCUGCGGAUACUUUCCUCUGUAGCAAAGCCAAGAGCUCCCAGGACGUGGUGGGGGUGCUUUGUACUGUACAGCACUUCCAAACAGGAGGAUUGCGUGGAUUUAUGGGCACUCCAGGUAAUAUUUCUGCCGCAGGGCUUGGAAGGAGAAAAUUCAAUCACAUGGCAUCUUAUUUUCAGAUGCUUCCAGUAUCUUUUCCUGUGGCUGCUUUGCAGCAGCAACACCCGCACUCUUCCUUCCUUGUACUUUAACAUUUGGAGCAUCUCCUCGAUUUCUUCAGCCUCAGACUGGCACAGCCAUCUUUCCUUUGUCUCUGGAGUCCUCUUUGGACAGUGCUGACUUUCUGCAUAUAGCAAGAGUCUCCCAAAUCAGCUAGACACGCAGCCUGGACCCACACUGUGCCUCAGAGCGGUUCUGUGAAAAGAGGCUCGGGGGGUAGCAGGUUGAACUGCGGACCCUGAUUCAGCCCUGAUUAGCAGGAAGGACUGGGAGUGUGAGCGUGGCAUCCCAAAGCACAGGUGUUUUACCUGGGGAUAUGCACAAGUGCAAAGAGUCCAGUGGCUGGAAAAGGAGGAUGCAGCACAGGAGACUUCGGCUUUGUUUUUCUCUGCCACUGACAUCCUUGUAUGACUUGAGUCACAUCACUUUGGUUCGUAGGUGCAGAGGGAGGGUAAAACCCAUUUCUGAAAAGCACUUUGGAAGGGGGCAGUCAAGCAGCGUCAGCAUGGUUGGAAAGGAAAGCCUCAGAAGGCAUCUGGUCAAACAUCUCAAAAGCCACCGGUCCCUUGAACCUUGGAGUCGGAGGACACUCGGCACCACUCAGAGUUGGGUCGCAACGCCUCCUACCUGGAUGGUCUGUGGCAGAAAUAGCUGGUUAACAAACCACAGGCCCAGCAGGAUGCAACGACAGAGAAAUCCGUGGGUUCUCUUGCAGCUGGGGCCAAUGCCACGAGGCCCUGGUCAGGAGAACUCAGGACACCACAUCUACCUCCCCGUGGCUAUGUGCAAAGCAGAAACAAGCAAAUGAUGCCAGUGACAAUGGUCAUGGUGAAGAGCACGCUGGCUGGGGUCACCACCCUGGGUGAGCAGCACUUCCUCGGUCCUGUGGCGACUGUUCAUUCUGCCUCUCUGCUAGCCUGAAGGUCCAAUCAGCCUUCCAGUGACCACGCAGGCUCCCCAGCAAUGGUAUUUCUUUUUCCCGUUCCAGCAUCCAGACGUAUGUAUUGUGAGGCCCUUACUUUCCCCUACCUGCACUGAUAUCCCCUUGUGUGUGCCAGCUUUCUGCCUAUGAGAGGGAUGUGCUCAGGAGCAAAGGAUUUUGCUUUGCUGUGGCUGUGACCAGGGGAAGGGAGCACUAAUAAACGUCUAGAGGGCA